Corylus avellana is the source of this 960-nucleotide non-coding RNA. Lineage: Eukaryota; Viridiplantae; Streptophyta; Magnoliopsida; Fagales; Betulaceae. The record is from RefSeq and is a predicted model, not a curated record.
UGUCAGCUAGCACCUCUGACCACAUACUAACAAAACCAAUAUCUCUUGUUACAUAUUGACAAUGGGGAUAAAUUAUUUACAGUAUUUGAUGACUUUUACACUAGUCUAGGCAGUUAAGCAACUAUAAUUUCAGCUGAUUAUUUAAAUCCUAAGUUGGCAGAAUUUGUUCUGAUUGUAUAAGUUUUCCUAUGCAUUGAUUGCGUAUUAGUAUUUGCUUUUAGUUUGUAAAGGUCCAUGUUUCCCUAGUUUCUGGUGAUCAUAGUUCCUUGUGUUUUGGUAGGCUAUAAUUUCAGAGUACCUAUUUUAUUAAGGAGGCCAAGAUUUUUUAUUUUGGUUGGUCAAUAAUGAGGAUGGUUUGCAGGUAUUCAAUGAACCUAAAUGGAAACUGGAAAUAAUUUUGCAGUAUUUCUGGAAAUACACAGCUAAGCCUUCUAUUUGCACACGGAGAUCGAAUGGUUCUUCAGAUGAUGCAACAUUUAGUGGAGCUUUGAAGUGCUUUUCCAGUAGUACUAGCACAAAAGGCAUCAUAAAAAAAAUUGGUAUAGAAGUAAUUCAGUUGCUUUUAGCACAUGGUUUUAAGGCUCAUUUGUUUCUAUCGACCGAACAAUGUCCUGCUCUAGGUAUCUCAGAUUGCAAGGAAGAUGUGAGCGGCAACUCUCUUGUGGAAGUAUGCAAGAAUAUGAUCUCUGCUUUCCAUAGUAUGAGAAGAGCAGAUGAGCACAUGGGGGUUUUGUCAUUUGGAAAGGAAGCACUGUUUACAGCAGCAACAAUACUCUCUACAAAGUCAUAGGAGCAUGGAGUCAUUGAUUUGCUGUGAAGGAUGGUAUGCUGCAUGUAACUUACCUGCUGACCCCUCUAUAUAUUUUUGGCCCGUCAUACUUACCUGCUGACCCAAGUUUUUGUCCCUGUAAUUCAAUGUAUGCUUAAUUUAGUUGUAUAUCUGUUUGGCUUCGAUGUAUC